GUUGGAAUAGCUCAGUCGGCAGAACACGAGAGUCUCAAUCUCAGGGUUGUGGGUUCAAGCUCCUCGUUGGACG
Podarcis lilfordi (Lilford's wall lizard) is the source of this 73-nucleotide non-coding RNA. The record is from the annotation of a GenBank genome assembly. Lineage: Eukaryota; Metazoa; Chordata; Lepidosauria; Squamata; Lacertidae.